RNAcentral lists this ribosomal RNA (478 nucleotides) under uncultured bacterium. RNAcentral's name for it is "bacterial SSU rRNA". It matches the Rfam family "Bacterial small subunit ribosomal RNA", at positions 32 to 507 of the family's 1533-position model. The record is from RNAcentral.
AACGCUGGCGGCGUGCCUAACACAUGCAAGUCGAACGGAGAGUAUAUGAACAAGACUUCGGUCAAGUGAGUAUAUUUCUUAGUGGCGGACGGGUGAGUAACGCGUGAGCAAUCUGCCUUUUAGAGGGGGAUAACGUUCUGAAAAGAACGCUAAUACCGCAUAAAGUAUAUUGAUGGCAUCAUCGAUAUACCAAAGGAGCAAUCCGCUAAAAGAUGAGCUCGCGUCUGAUUAGAUAGUUGGUGGGGUAACGGCCUACCAAGUCGACGAUCAGUAGCCGGACUGAGAGGUUGAACGGCCACAUUGGGACUGAGACACGGCCCAGACUCCUACGGGAGGCAGCAGUGGGGAAUAUUGCACAAUGGGCGAAAGCCUGAUGCAGCAACGCCGCGUGAGGGAAGACGGUCUUCGGAUUGUAAACCUCUGUCCUUGGUGAAGAAACAUGACGGUAGCCAUGGAGGAAGCCACGGCUAACUACGUG